This 253-nucleotide ribosomal RNA is filed under the name uncultured bacterium. Its description in RNAcentral is "partial 16S ribosomal RNA". It matches the Rfam family "Bacterial small subunit ribosomal RNA", at positions 524 to 776 of the family's 1533-position model. The record is from RNAcentral.
UACGAAGGGGGCUAGCGUUGUUCGGAUUUACUGGGCGUAAAGCGCGUGUAGGCGGGUCGUUAAGUUGGGGGUGGAAGCCCGGAGCUCAACUCCGGAACUGCCUUCAAAACUGGCGACCUGGAGCAUGUCAGAGGAGAGUGGAAUUGCGAGUGUAGAGGUGAAAUUCGUAGAUAUUCGCAGGAACACCAGUGGCGAAGGCGACUCGCUGGGACAUUGCUGACGCUGAGAAGCGAAAGCGUGGGGAGCAAACAGG